RNAcentral lists this transfer RNA (85 nucleotides) under Kineosporia sp. NBRC 101731. RNAcentral describes it as "tRNA-Arg". The record is from RNAcentral. Lineage: Bacteria; Bacillati; Actinomycetota; Actinomycetes; Kineosporiales; Kineosporiaceae.
GGCGGGUGGUGGAACAGGGCGACCACCAGCAGCUCCUGGCCGCCGACGGCCAGUACGCGGCCAUGUUCCACGCCCAGGCCCACCG